GAUGAACGCUAGCGGCAGGCUUAAUACAUGCAAGUUGAGGGGCAGCAUGAUAUACGCGAGUAUAUUGAUGGCGACCGGCGGACGGGUGAGUAAUAGGUAGGAGACCUACCUCAUACAGGGGGAUAGCAUAGAGAAAUCUGUGGUAAUACCCCAUGAGGUUAUAUGAAUAGAGGCAUAUAAUCAAAGCAUAAGCGAUUAUGCGGUAUGAGAGGGGCCUACUGACCAUUAGCUAGUUGGUGAGGUAAGGGCUCACCAAGGCGAAGAUGGUUAGGGGUUUUGAGAGAGAGACCCCCCCACAUUGGAACUGAGAGACGGUCCAGACUCCUACGGGAGGCAGCAGUAGGGAAUAUUGGGCAAUGGGCGAAAGCCUGACCCAGCCAUGCCGCGUGAAGGAAGACGGCCUUAUGGGUUGUAAACUUCUUUACUACGCGAAUAGAGGUUAGUACGAGAUACUAAUAGGAAGUGUAGUAGUAAAAGCACCGGCUAACUCCGUG
Molecule: ribosomal RNA, 494 nt
Filed under: uncultured bacterium
Lineage: Bacteria
Description: bacterial SSU rRNA
Rfam family: Bacterial small subunit ribosomal RNA
Source: RNAcentral